GAUGGGUAUAGGAUGUACCCAAGAAAAGACAAUUCACUUGGCUGACCUAAGCAGAAGUAUUGGCUUGGGUCUCUGAAAGGAGUUCUUUCUUACUGCUGAUGCAGCUUUAUAGCCUGCAGCAAGAAGACAGUCAAUAGGCUGGAAAGUGUACUGUCAUCUGAACCAGAAGUUCCCCCUUUUUUUUUUCUAACCUCCCUUGAGAAUGGUGUCCAUGGUUUGUGUCUGACUGCAUUCCCAGGAGACAACACAAGCUCUUUGUACAGCAUGAAUUGGCAAUGCCGUGCAGCUCUCCAGGACACUGCAGAGAGGAGAGAGAACCAUCAGAGAAAAUUACAUCAACUGAGCUGCAGAGCACGAAUGAUAGAGCCAGCAGGGCCCAGUGCACCUUCCUUUAUGCCAUCAUGAUGCUAUUUGACAGAAACCAGCUGCUCUGGUCAUGUUCCUCACACUGUACCCAGCCCUGCCACCAGAACACGCAGACAAGACCCAAGUGUCUGAUGCUCUUAUGCUUUGUUUUGUUUUCAGCAAUUUCAUAUACUUAUGUAGAUUGAUGUUCUUGUAAUUAAAACAAAGAAUCACU
Long non-coding RNA from Onychostruthus taczanowskii (white-rumped snowfinch), 580 nucleotides. RefSeq lists it as uncharacterized. The record is from RefSeq and is a predicted model, not a curated record. NCBI's taxonomy places the organism in Eukaryota, Metazoa, Chordata, Aves, Passeriformes, Passeridae. The transcript is spliced from 3 exons.